Molecule: ribosomal RNA, 495 nt
Filed under: uncultured bacterium
Lineage: Bacteria
Description: bacterial SSU rRNA
Rfam family: Bacterial small subunit ribosomal RNA
Source: RNAcentral
GAUCAUGGCUCAGAUUGAACGCUGGCGGAAUGCUUUACACAUGCAAGUCGAACGGCAGCACGGGGCAACCUGGUGGCGAGUGGCGAACGGGUGAGUAAUACAUCGGAACGUGCCCAAUCGUGGGGGAUAACGUAGCGAAAGUUACGCUAAUACCGCAUACGAUCUACGGAUGAAAGCGGGGGAUCGCAAGACCUCGCGCGAGUGGAGCGGCCGAUGUCAGAUUAGGUAGUUGGUGGGGUAAAGGCUCACCAAGCCAACGAUCUGUAGCUGGUCUGAGAGGACGACCAGCCACACUGGAACUGAGACACGGUCCAGACUCCUACGGGAGGCAGCAGUGGGGAAUUUUGGACAAUGGGCGCAAGCCUGAUCCAGCCAUUCCGCGUGCAGGAUGAAGGCCUUCGGGUUGUAAACUGCUUUUGUACGGAACGUAACGGCGAGCUCUAAUACAGUUUGCUAAUGACGGUACCGUAAGAAUAAGCACCGGCUAACUACGUG